This is a long non-coding RNA of Mugil cephalus (flathead mullet), 1236 nucleotides long. RefSeq lists it as uncharacterized. NCBI's taxonomy places the organism in Eukaryota, Metazoa, Chordata, Actinopteri, Mugiliformes, Mugilidae. The transcript has 2 exons. The record is from RefSeq and is a predicted model, not a curated record.
UCUGUUUGAGGGUAAAUACCAGCAUGUGUCCCGCAGCGUAAAUAGAGGAACUACUGUUAACAACAACCCAGAAUUAGAGCCGCCGCCGCCGUCGUAGCAGCUAUGAAAUAUCCUGCAGUGCUCGGCAGCUCCGUCUGUCAUCAUAGCUCAUUACGGAGAAAUCCAAACAGUCAAGUACCCGAUGUUUGGGUGUUUUUACGCCACCAGUCUUGGCCUCGCAGAUGUGCGAGCGGCCGGUUGCAUGCAAAAUGACAUAACGUUGACAGCACAUGCACCACGCUGGUGUGUUUGGGGAGUGUUGUUGCACUGAAGCGGAUUACGCUCAUUUUCCAUGCUGCUCAUCCCUGUGAUGUAUUACCCGGCUAAUUCAGCUGAUUAUGAAGCCUUGUUUAAUGUAUUUAAUCAGCGGCUUAAGAUGAGUCUGAUUCCACUUUGCGACUCUUGUUGUGCGGUUUUUUGCUGAGGAGCGGCUUUGAAGUGGAAAAGCCUUCCGUCCCUGGGUGCACCUUGCAGGGGCGGCGGCUUUACUGAUGACAAAAGACAAACAGGAGGUAAACACGCAGUGAUUUACUGUUUCAUUAAGGCUUCAUUACGCAUGGACCCGGAGGAAGGACGGCCCGUUUGAGUCUGGACGCUGAACUGAGAGGAUGACGCUCGCUGCCUCCAGGAGGACGAGGACGAACCUUUUAUAUCCAACAAGAUCAAAGCUUUGAGAGUUUUAACUGACCUCCACGUCGACGGGAGAAUGUGGGGAUGUGAGUCUUUCCCUGGAUUAACGUGAUUGGAUUUGACUUAUUUGUGACUGAAGAAGAAAGAAAAAAAAGCAGGGAGGAGGCCACUAAACAUGUGGAGGUCCAGGGUCCUGGUGCAGGUCCACAUGAAACCGUUCAUUUAUUCUGACGGGACUUCAGGUUUAUUUGGUUGUUCAGUUAUUUAGGAUAAAGGAAGAAAUGAAAUGAAGCUUGAUGUUAGUGUUAGAAAACGUCCAAGAUGUGUCCAUCAGCCACCUGAUAGCUUAAAUACUGACAUGUAAAAUUGUAAAUUGGUCACAACUGCACACAGUUUUUACACAUUAAUACAAGUUAAAACAGUCUUGUACACAUCAAUUCUUCCUUCUCCUUUCCACAGUUGAUUCUGUUGAUUUUGUUGGUGUUUUAUGUUGAUGUCUGUGUAUGUUUGUAGCUACUGGACGCUCAACUUUCCCCCUGAGGAUGAAUAAAGUAUUUUUCUAUUCUA